RNAcentral lists this ribosomal RNA (500 nucleotides) under uncultured bacterium. Its description in RNAcentral is "bacterial SSU rRNA". It matches the Rfam family "Bacterial small subunit ribosomal RNA", at positions 64 to 563 of the family's 1533-position model. The record is from RNAcentral.
GAACGGAGCACCUUCGAAAGAGACUUCGGUCAAUGGAAAAGAAUGCUUAGUGGCGGACGGGUGAGUAACGCGUGAGGAACCUGCCUUUCAGUGGGGGACAACAGUUGGAAACGACUGCUAAUACCGCAUAACGUACGGGUAUCGCAUGGUAUCUGUACCAAAGAUUUAUCGCUGAGAGAUGGCCUCGCGUCUGAUUAGCUAGUUGGUAGGGUAACGGCCUACCAAGGCGACGAUCAGUAGCCGGACUGAGAGGUUGGCCGGCCACAUUGGGACUGAGAUACGGCCCAGACUCCUACGGGAGGCAGCAGUGGGGAAUAUUGGGCAAUGGGCGAAAGCCUGACCCACAACGCCGCGUGAAGGAAGAAGGCUUUCGGGUUGUAAACUUCUUUUGACAGGGAAGAGCAGAAGACGGUACCUGUCGAAUAAGCCACGGCUAACUACGUGCCAGCAGCCGCGGUAAUACGUAGGUGGCAAGCGUUGUCCGGAUUUACUGGGUGUAA